RNAcentral lists this ribosomal RNA (163 nucleotides) under Moquiniella rubra. RNAcentral describes it as "5.8S ribosomal RNA". It matches the Rfam family "5.8S ribosomal RNA". From Rfam's summary of the family: 5.8S ribosomal RNA (5.8S rRNA) is a component of the large subunit of the eukaryotic ribosome. Lineage: Eukaryota; Viridiplantae; Streptophyta; Magnoliopsida; Santalales; Loranthaceae. The record is from RNAcentral.
AUAAUGACUCUCGGCAACGGAUAUCUCGGCUCUCGCAUCGAUGAAGAACGCAGCGAAAUGCGAUACCUGGUGUGAAUUGCAGAAUCCCGCGAAUCAUCGAGUCUUUGAACGCAAGUUGCGCCCGAGGCCUUUAGGUCGAGGGCACGCCUGCCUGGGCGUCACG